GCUGUAUUAGUUAAGAAACUGACCUGGCUUACAGAGGAAAUGAAGGUAGCAGAGACUACCACAUACAGAUAGACCUUAUCCCCUCAUCCCCAUCGGUCAGCAUGAGUCAGACCAUGAAAUGACUUGAGUUUUAAUCUACUUUUUAUACUGAAGGGAGAGGCCUCUAAUUUAAUAGCUUCAACACAGAAUCUGGGCGAGAAUUUGCACAAAGCUGGCAGAAUUACACCAGAUUUCCAGGAUCUCUCAUUAUGGACCAAUUUCAAUUUAAUGGCUUAGAGGCAGCAUGACAGAAGCAGCCUGGAGGUGGACCCUAGGGGCAGAUGGUCAACUUGUGGAAAUAGAACCAGGAUGAUUUAUGCCAACUGAGGAUCUAUCAGCCAUAGAUUUUUCUGGCUGGAGGUAAUGUGUUUAGAUUCUGUGGACUGUCAAUCCUGAUUCAGCAAAGCACUUACGCAAGAGCUUAAGUACCAUUGUGUUGCUGAAUAGAGAUGGACUUAAGGACAUACUUAAAUACUCUGAACUGAAUCCAUAAUGCAUAAAGCUGGUUGUCUGCAUAGCAAAAAUA
Molecule: long non-coding RNA, 565 nt
Organism: Chelonia mydas (Green sea turtle)
Lineage: Eukaryota; Metazoa; Chordata; Testudines; Cheloniidae
Exons: 4
Source: RefSeq, a predicted model, not a curated record